This is a long non-coding RNA of Falco peregrinus (peregrine falcon), 3511 nucleotides long. RefSeq lists it as uncharacterized. The record is from RefSeq and is a predicted model, not a curated record. NCBI's taxonomy places the organism in Eukaryota, Metazoa, Chordata, Aves, Falconiformes, Falconidae. The transcript has 5 exons.
CUGCUAGCUUAUCCAAAAGAUGGCCUCUUUCCGAUGCAUCCAUUCUUCUCCAGACCGAACCUAGAGAAAAAGCCAGGCGAGCUGCCCUCACUGCUUUGUCCGUAUCAACCUGCCAAGAAGGAAGAAAGACGCAGAGGUAAUGAAGAAUUUAUCUGCUGUUACUGGCACAAUACAGGAGCAAUAACACUUUCCCGUAGCUCAGGUUCACUGCUUUUAGUCUCCCUGAAGACCGUUUAGGCAAACAGCUGGAAGAGCUGACUACAAAGGUUCCCAGUCACAGGGAACAGCCCUAAGAAGCCCUUACCUGCUUUCCAACCAGGAAGUAAGUUAUCAAGGAUUUGUUCUGUUGCUCCUUCAAGGAGAGAAAUGAACUGAGGCAGAGAGCAAGAGCAUGAACACAUUUGUGUUUCAGCUAGAAUCCCAGCAUGAAGAGUGAUCGUCUUGGCUGGCGGGUGGAAGAGCUGCGCUGCACCAGCCACUGGGCAUGUCUGCACUGGGCUCCUGGUUGCCAUCUAAAUAGCAGGGCCUGCCUUCCCCCUCCAUGGUGGAGCGCCUUACUAAAACAAAACCCUUGAGAAGCGGACAGAAACAAUACCAGAGAUGACAACCUGGACUGCCAGCGCCAUCACUGGGCUGCACCAGUGGAGAUAGAUACUCCCCCUCCUAACAGAAGAGCCCAGAGGGGAGCAACACUGCAAGCCCCAACUUCACUUGAACUCAUUAUCCAGUUCUUCCAGCAAGGAGGGCACUGCCUCCCAAACAGCACUCAAGGGAAUGGUAACGGAGACAACUCCCGAUCAAGUGACACAGAAAGAGAGCAAGCAGCACAAAGAAAGGGGUCUUUUCAUCUAUGCUGUGUGUGCUUGUGUAGGUGAGUGCACAUGGAAGUGUGCGAUUAAUACCGUAUAGAAUUGUAGGCGUGCAGCCGCAUGUAAACACUGGCUCUGAAAUUCAUCUAUAUUUCCAUUUCCCAGAAUAGCAUGUACAGAAAAAGAGGUUUUAUCUUCUAGUAGCCUGGCUGGUUUAGCAAGAGAUCCUGCCUCUGACACUGACCUACAGUCUCAGUUAGUCAUGGUUACACUCCAACAAAUUUAAACUCCCCCAUCUGUGAAGGAGCCUUGUCACCAGUUUUACUGUGAGACUGAAUCAAUUAAUGCUUUCUAAAAGCUUUGAUGGAAGGAGCACAAUAUUAACACUUGCAGUUGAGCGAUGCUAGCUAAAAAUGUCUUUAGUAACAUUAACAAAUAUGUUUUAAAAUCACUAUCAAAGGGUUGGACCACCAAGACUAGGCCACCAUCGGUACAGCUAACCCAUUUCGUGUUAGUCUCAUAUCACCAUUUCAGAUGGACAAGUGAAAAAGCAGAGCGUGAUUCUCACCUCUCAUGGAAACAGCAUCCCAUAGAAAUCACAAAAGACAGAGAAGCCGUUAAGUAGCUGUGGUAAAGAAAGUGUGAUAAGGACGAAAAGAGGAAGACCAACAGAACAUCGAGCACUGACAGAAAAGGGGGUGAAGGCUUAGCCAGAUCUCCUGCAAAACAUGCGUGCAUGUUUCUCAAGGUCCAUGCAGGCCAUUCAGGUACAGGACUGCUGCAACCAUCUGCCACAACUGAAGAAACCGGGAGAGAAUAAAAUAACCCCCUUAAUUUGGAAAGGCAGUUUUCAAAAGGUGAGGCAUCAGGAACAGCACAAAAGGCACGCAGGACAUCCCAGGGUGGUGGUGAUGAUGAUGUAGUAAGUGGUGUUUUUCCCACUGAAGCAUGAGAGAACGAUGCCACAGCGCAGACCUGGAAGGACCUUCCAGCUGGAGAGAUCCAUUUCAGAUUAAAUGCAGACCCGAGGUUCUGACCAGCUCUUGCCACUUGAGGCCAAAUUUGACAUGCUGACCUAUUCAUAAGAAGGUAAGAUCAGCUUUUACAUGACAGGCAAAUAAUCUCAGUGUUUCCCUGAAAUGAUAAAUAGCUCCGCUUUGGACAUGAAUCAGUCUCACUUUAGACUGAAGCCUUUACCUGUGUAAAUGUAUUUGGAAUUUCUGUAGGGAAAGGCACCUUCUGAUCAUUUCUGAGUCAAAACUGAGGGCUUUUGUGCAAUCACUGCUGGAGGACCAGAGCACGGUAAGAGGCCAGUGUCCCUCUGGCAUCCUCUUCCCAUCCAAGUGCAGCAAAGAGGCUGCAGCCUGUUCUGUGCAACACUUCCUAUGUCUUUGUGACUUUCCAAAUGGAUUUUUCUAACUCACUUAUUUUAAAUUGGGGCACAGUGGAAAUCCACAUGGAAAUUAGCAAAGUAUAUCCUUUCUAUAACCGCACCACCUGCUGCCGGCUGCUCCACAGCUGUCCCACCAGCAUCCGUUUCGAUUCUGAGUUCAAUUCAGAGUCUUCAUUACCUAUGAAUCCCUGACAGAUUAAGGUCUAUAUACUCUAGUGGUCAGCACGGUCCUUGUGUUUUAACCUCCAGCUGAGGUCAACUGAGAUCGAGCUGACCUUAAACGUUUUCAUUUGGGUCACAGAACGUGAUGUGGAUGGUUCUCUGAAGUAUUUUCCCACUUCAGUCUAACAAAGCCACAGCGUAUUAUAUUUCAAGUCAUAAGGCAAAAAUCUCGUUCACUAGGCUCUCUGGGAAAGGAACUGAUGUCCAGUGACGUGAACAAGAAUGAAGUCCUUCUUUUCUUUGGUCGGUUGGAGACUGUUUCAGCAACACUAUCACAGCAACACCUUGAUGUGGCUUCACAUACGAUACUUUUAGUAAUGGAGUGCUCUUAAAGCUUAGUCACACUGCGUAACUCCACCUUGAUGUGCUGCAUUCGUGUCACAAAGGUGGGAAAGUGGAUCCUGGAUAAAAGUCCUGCCCAAGACAAGACUCCAAGCUGAAGACUCCAAUUAUCUAUAAAUCACUUGUAUUUCCUGCAGAGAAAGAGAAAAAGGAGGGAAGAGCGAGACAGACAGAAAAACAGAGACAGAGGAUAUGCCAAGUGAAAUAUUUGAUACCUGUCCUAAACCAAAUUUCUCUCAAAGCAGCCAGGAGUUACCUGAUACCUCAAAACCAAGCUCAGUGGAAGCAUGUUGCCCGUUUUGAUUUUGGCUUAAUAUUGAAAUAAAGUCAUUUUCUUUUACUUGUUCCAUCAGCAUAAAAUGUGUAACAUCUUAACAUAUUUCUGAGAUGAUAGCACUAUAUAUGCUGAAUUACUAAAGGUGACUAUCCAGUUUACAUUCUCACAGACAGGAAGAGGUGAUUGCUGACGACUGUUACCUUUUUCAAAGAUUUUUAGAACCCAUUCUCUAGUUUUUGCACAGAGAAAUGCAGGUACACUUAUUAAUGCAAACAGUGAUACUACUCCCAAGUUGUUAUCUACUGAACACUCCUGGAACACAUUUUACACUGAAACCAGCAACAAACAACAUUCAUGCCAAAUACUGUUUGCACAGUGAGAUUGCUCCCAAAGUGUAACACCAUACAACAUCAAAUAACUACUAUUUGUUUAAACUCUUCAUUUAAACUAUCUGCAAAGAAAUCAUAC